This 470-nucleotide ribosomal RNA is filed under the name bacterium enrichment culture clone ALO1_GLFRUDD03GNDCZ. RNAcentral's name for it is "bacterial SSU rRNA". It matches the Rfam family "Bacterial small subunit ribosomal RNA", at positions 9 to 524 of the family's 1533-position model. The record is from RNAcentral.
GAGUUUGAUCCUGGCUCAGAGCGAACGCUGGCGGCAUGCUUAACACAUGCAAGUCGCACGGUCAGCAAUGGCAGUGGCGGACGGGUGAGUAACACGUAGGAAUCUAUCUCUGGGUGGGGGACAACAGUGGGAAACUACUGCUAAUACCGCAUGAUACCUGAGGGUCAAAGGCGUAAGUCGCCUGGAGAGGAGCCUGCGUCUGAUUAGCUUGUUGGUGGGGUAAAGGCCUACCAAGGCUACGAUCAGUAGCUGGUCUGAGAGGAUGAUCAGCCACAUUGGGACUGAGACACGGCCCAAACUCCUACGGGAGGCAGCAGUGGGGAAUAUUGGACAGUGGGCGAAAGCCUGAUCCAGCAAUGCCGCGUGUGUGAAGAAGGUCUUCGGAUUGUAAAGCACUUUUUGGCAGGGACGAUGAUGACGGUACCUGCAGAAUAAGCCCCGGCUAACUUCGUGCCAGCAGCCGCCGUAAU